AGCCGUGUAGUUGAUAUUGUAGACUAUUGAGAUGGAGCCGUGCAGUUGAUAUUGUAGACUAUUGAGAUGGAGCCGUGCAGUUGACUAUGAUUCCACCUGGUGGCCAUGUUGGAAGACCACCGCAUUAAUUUUUCCGACAACAGCUGACUGGCUACCGGAAAGAACAUGAUAACAGUGACUAAAACUAUUUGAUUCAUCAGUAUUUGGCUGCUCUAACAUGGCAGAAAAAAUAUGUUUAUGGAUUCCCCGCAAUCAUGAAACACUAUUGGUGACGCCACGGAGAUAAUACUCAAGAACUGUCAGAAAAGUGAAGAAACCUUUUUGCCUGUCAAGACCUGAACCCAGACAACUGUCAGUACAGGGUCUGCUACGAUCAUUUCAUCACUGGUUCACCAGCUGACCUCUGUCAAGACACCGACGUCGUCUGGAGUCCCCCUGUGAAGAUGUGCAAUGCUGCAGCAGCCUCAGUUUCCCCCCCUGUGAAGAUGAGCAAUGCUGCAGCAGCCUCAGUUUCCCCUCCUGUGAAGAUGAGCAAUGCUGCAGCAGCCUCAGUUUCCCCCUGUGAAGAUGAGCAAUGCUGCAGUAGCCAGUUUCCCCUCCUGUGAAGAUGAGCAAUGCUGCAGCAGCCUCAGUUUCCCCCUGUGAAGAUGUGCAAUGCUGCAGCAGCCUCAGUUUCCCCCUGUGAAGAUGUGCAAUGCUGCAGCAGCCUCAGUUUCCCCCUGUGAAGAUGAGCAAUGCUGCAGCAGCCUCAGUUUCCCCUCCUGUGAAGAUGAGCAAUGUUGCAGCAGCAUCAGUUUCCCCCUGUGAAGAUGUGCAAUGUUGCAGCAGCAUCAGUUUCCCCCUGUGAAGAUGAGCAAUGCUGCAGCAGCCUCAGUUUCCCCCUGUGAAGAUGAGCAAUGCUGCAGCAGCAUCAGUUUCCCCCCUGUGAAGAUGUGCAAUGCUGCAGCAGCCUCAGUUUCCCCCCUGUGAAGAUGAGCAAUGCUGCAGCAGCAUCAGUUUCCCCCCUGUGAAGAUGAGCAAUGCUGCAGCAGCCUCAGUUUCCCCCGUGAAGAUGUGCAAUGCUGCAGCAUUUUAUACUUCUUUGUCCUUUUCCAGAUAUGAAAGGAGACAUCCUUCAGUUUGACACAUUGAUUGUCAAAAAUGCUCUACUUUGGUCAAUCUGAAUGAUUAUGUUGUGCCAUUUGAGUAGAGAGCACCUUGUCAUGACAAAAUAAACCAUAUUAAUAUAUACAAUGUAAUUUGAAACAACAUGUGAAAUUCAAAUGUUUAUGAUAUUGUUAAAUUACUGUAUUUUAAUAUAUAGUUGUAUAGGUGAUAUUAAAAGUAUAUUGUGUGUCAUCUCUGCUUCACCCCAUUGAAUAAAAUGUAUUUCUUAUA
Molecule: long non-coding RNA, 1377 nt
Organism: Salvelinus namaycush (lake trout)
Lineage: Eukaryota; Metazoa; Chordata; Actinopteri; Salmoniformes; Salmonidae
Exons: 2
Source: RefSeq, a predicted model, not a curated record